Molecule: microRNA precursor, 86 nt
Filed under: Branchiostoma floridae (Florida lancelet)
Lineage: Eukaryota; Metazoa; Chordata; Leptocardii; Amphioxiformes; Branchiostomatidae
Description: mir-2060 microRNA precursor family
Rfam family: mir-2060 microRNA precursor family
Source: Rfam by way of RNAcentral
GUGUGUUGAUGGUGUUCAGCACCAAGGACAGGUAUGUUUGCUUGUAUGUGGAUGGUGUUCGGCACCAAGAACAGGUAUAUUUACCU